GACGAACGCUGGCGGCGUGCCUAAUACAUGCAAGUAGAACGCUGAAGAGAGGAGCUUGCUCUUCUUGGAUGAGUUGCGAACGGGUGAGUAACGCGUAGGUAACCUGCCUUGUAGCGGGGGAUAACUAUUGGAAACGAUAGCUAAUACCGCAUAACAAUGGAUGACACAUGUCAUUUAUUUGAAAGGGGCAAUUGCUCCACUACAAGAUGGACCUGCGUUGUAUUAGCUAGUAGGUGAGGUAACGGCUCACCUAGGCGACGAUACAUAGCCGACCUGAGAGGGUGAUCGGCCACACUGGGACUGAGACGCGGCCCAGACUCCUACGGGAGGCAGCAGUAGGGAAUCUUCGGCAAUGGGGGCAACCCUGACCGAGCAACGCCGCGUGAGUGAAGAAGGUUUUCGGAUCGUAAAGCUCGGUUGUAAGUCAAGAACGAGUGUGAGAGUGGAAAGUUCACACUGUGACGGUAGCUUACCAGAAAGGGACGGCUAACUACGUG
This 497-nucleotide ribosomal RNA is filed under the name uncultured bacterium. RNAcentral's name for it is "partial 16S ribosomal RNA". It matches the Rfam family "Bacterial small subunit ribosomal RNA", at positions 28 to 507 of the family's 1533-position model. The record is from RNAcentral.